UUUAUAAACCAGGGGCAAUAGGACAGAGAAAUUCAGACAAACUACUUCCACUACCAAGAUCUUUUUCUCAAAUGAGACACUUUGGACAAAUUAUAAAUACAACGCUCAGAUUGCAUAUCCUUUUUGUUGCAGCCUUCUGGGAUAGUAUCUGAAGCUAAAGACCUCCAAGCCAAGGACCAAGGGCAAAGGCUAUAUACCAUGUCCCUGAUUUGUUGGUGUGAGAAAGGUUUUGAACCAGUGGGCUGAGAGCUUUGGGUAUCGCUUUAAUCCAUUUUUAUAGUCUACAAAGUUGAUGCCAAAUCGCACAGUGAAACCUGAUGUCCAUUCAAAAUUGUCCAGCAACGACCAGGCAAAGUAUCCCUUCACAUUAGCCCCCUCUUUAAUUGCUCUUUCCAGGAAAUAUAAAUGGUGAUAGUAGUAAUCAAUCCUCACUUCGUCAACCAGGGCGUCCUCCAGAGAUAAUGUGGCAUUAUUGAACUCAUCAAUCCCAUUUUCCGUAAUGUAAAUGAGUGGAUUUUUGUACUUCCUCUUUAUGUAGAGCAAAAGAUCACGAAUCCCUCUGGGAUAAACAUGGAUGAAAUCUGAAGCUGCCUUUGGGCCAAUUGGAAUUCCAUUACGAUCACUUGUCAUGUUAACGAGAGAGUCUGUUAGGAAGCUUUUGUUUGCAUUCCUAAAUUGAGGGGCAUAGGCUGCAUAAGUAGCAGUAUAAUAGUUUAAUCCUAUAAAAUCAUACGAUCCUUUUACCAUCUGAGCUUGUUCUUUUGAGAAUUUUGGCAAUCGAUUUCCCACAUAAGAUUUCAUGACAUGUGGGUAAUCACCAUUUGUCAAUGGGUCCAUAAACCAUCCCAAUGAGAAAUCGAGGGCUCUCUGCGCUGCAUUUUUGUUAUGUCUUGCAUUGGAGUAGGGAACCAUCCAAGGAGUCACUAAAGUAAUCCCUAUAAUGCCUUUCUGGAUUUCCUGAUAUUUGCGUUUGUACAAGUUUACAGCAGCAGCAUGAGCAAGAAGCUGGUAAUGUGACACCAAAUAAGGCUCAGUUGCUGAAUCUCCACCUGUGCAAUUUAUGUUUUGUGAGGCUGAGCAUCGCCCAGGAGCCAGGAUGCCUAAUGCAUAACCAGCCACACUGAAUCCCGUUGGCUCAUUAAAUGUUAUCCAAUGUUUUACUCGAUCUCCAAAUUCCUUAAAACAAGUUUCAGCAAAAUCUUGAAAAUCAUCCACAACUCGUGGACUCAAAAACCCAGAAUACUCAUCUUCCAAGGAUUGAGGAAGAUCCCAGUGGAACAAAGUGAUAAAGGGCUCUAUAUCAUUUGCUAGGAGCCCAUUGAUGAGGUUGUUAUAGUAUUUCACUCCAUUCUUGUUCACACCCCCACUUAGCUUUCCAUUUGGCAAUAUUCGGGGCCAUGAGAUUGAGAAUCUGUAAGCAUUCAAACCCAUUUCUUUCAUUAUCUGAACAUCUUCCUUGUAGCGGUGAUAUGAAUCAACAGCCACAUCCCCAUUGCUUCUAUCUAUAAUCUUAUCUGGAUAUCUAUGAGUAAAAGUAUCCCAUAUGCUUCGCCCUUUACCUCCUUCUCUUGCUGCACCUUCAUACUGGUAAGCUGAUGAAGCCGUCCCAAAAAGGAAACCUGCCGGAAAAUUAGUCCGAUUGAAGGAGGCUGUGCUAUACCUGGAACCAUAAGCUAUACUGGUAUGGAGUGCUCCAUGGAAAA
Molecule: unclassified non-coding RNA, 1703 nt
Filed under: Hevea brasiliensis (rubber tree)
Lineage: Eukaryota; Viridiplantae; Streptophyta; Magnoliopsida; Malpighiales; Euphorbiaceae
Source: RNAcentral